Molecule: long non-coding RNA, 1492 nt
Organism: Sinocyclocheilus rhinocerous
Lineage: Eukaryota; Metazoa; Chordata; Actinopteri; Cypriniformes; Cyprinidae
Exons: 2
Source: RefSeq, a predicted model, not a curated record
UUGCACUGGACGACACCCACUGGCAUCACAACACCAGAGUCCUCCAUCAAGAGCACAGAGAACGUGACACCCAUGUCCACGACAGCUUUCAGCCCAACCGCUGCAAAAAUCCAUGGGAACAGCCACGCUUCUCAAGAAACCCAAAAGAUAAGAACAACUGGAAACCUAACCAGACAUCCAAAGGUAAUCGCCUGACUCAUCCAAGAGCAACUCGUGUGGGUAAGCGACAACAAAACCCACCUCAGCACCACUCAGACAUGCACAGUGCUGAGUAUGCACAAGAACAAGACAGCUUACCAUCAGACGACAUGGAACAAGUCAUGAGACAAAUGAAAGAGUUCCUUCAAGGAAAGCUGAACAUGGAUGACCACAAAGUUGAGUCAUGCUCGCUGUGACCAGCGACAGAAAGGAAGGCCGGUGAUCACCUGGUACACCACAUCAGAGAUGACAAGCACCUGUUCAACAACCACCCAGAACGAGCAAGUCUCUCACGGCCAACGGUUGAUGAAAACUCUGAGGUACCAAAGAACAUCACCUCAGUCACCCACCGCUCACUAACAAACUGUCAAGUUAACUCCAACUCCAAGAACCACAUUCCUGUCUGUGUAGCAGCAACCACCCAAGCACAGAAGGUCAGAAAGUCUGCCACAACCAGAAGGCAUCACAAGAGAAAUGCAAUGUAGGAGACAAAGUUUGCACCCCAGCUUCACACAGCCAUGCCAAACUAGCUCCGACUGUCUGCUAAAGAACUUCCUGCCUUGCUGGACUGACCCCCAUUAGAUCAUGGACAUGCCCUCAUCCAAGCCAAGGAUGCAGAGAGCCAGUCUUCACUGACAUACAAGAAAAGGGGGGAGACAACACAGACUGAAACAGAUCUGACCACACAUACACUACACCAUUAACACACACAACAUUACCUAAACACAGAGGUAACCACAUCUACUGAUAACACAGUCAACAAACAUUUUCUUCCCACAAGUAGAAUAUCCAAAUUUUAGCGUAACAUAAAGUUACAUAUGCCCACCAUGAAGAAACAUGCAGCCAUCCUCACAAUAGGUAGAACACCUGACACUAAGUUAAGGUACAUGACACACUAGCUGCACGUGACAUCCUAGCUCAACAGUAGUUGUAAGCCAUGCUAGGAAAAUCCACAGCAGCUUUGUUUUGUUUUGUUUUGUUCUUCUUUUACCUAUCCUGAUUCCUUCCCCUCUUUCCUUAGUAGGUGAAACACCUAGACACCCUGCAAGGGUCAAAGGUCUGAUAUUAGGAUUGACUCACCACACCUAAUAUCCGCCAGUAAUUCUAAACUGAAUGGAAGCCAGAGAGCUCCAUGCACGAUAGGUCAAUUCAUUUCAUUGCAAAUGAUGUUACUAGAAAAUUAACGGUAAACGUUUUAAAUUAAGACAACCUAGAAGAACCAAACAAAGUUAUCCGCAAAAUUUGAUUGACGAAUCAACGUACGGAACCAAAUUAGAACAAUUUCCAGAUUGAA